CAGUAGCCGCGGUAAUACGGAGGGUGCAAGCGUUAAUCGGAAUUACUGGGCGUAAAGCGCACGCAGGCGGUCUGACAAGUCAGAUGUGAAAUCCCCGGGCUUAACCUGGGAACUGCAUUUGAAACUGUCAGGCUGGAGUCUUGUAGAGGGGGGUAGAAUUCCAGGUGUAGCGGUGAAAUGCGUAGAGAUCUGGAGGAAUACCGGUGGCGAAGGCGGCCCCCUGGACAAAGACUGACGCUCAGGUGCGAAAGCGUGGGGAGCAAACAGGAUUAGAUACCCCGGUAGUCCCUGUCUCUUAUCA
Molecule: ribosomal RNA, 301 nt
Filed under: uncultured bacterium
Lineage: Bacteria
Description: partial 16S ribosomal RNA
Rfam family: Bacterial small subunit ribosomal RNA
Source: RNAcentral